RNAcentral lists this ribosomal RNA (253 nucleotides) under uncultured bacterium. RNAcentral's name for it is "partial 16S ribosomal RNA". It matches the Rfam family "Bacterial small subunit ribosomal RNA", at positions 524 to 776 of the family's 1533-position model. The record is from RNAcentral.
UACGGAGGGAGCUAGCGUUGUUCGGAAUUACUGGGCGUAAAGCGCACGUAGGCGGCUUUGUAAGUUAGAGGUGAAAGCCCGGGGCUCAACCCCGGAAUUGCCUUUAAGACUGCAUCGCUUGAAUCCGGGAGAGGUGAGUGGAAUUCCGAGUGUAGAGGUGAAAUUCGUAGAUAUUCGGAAGAACACCAGUGGCGAAGGCGGCUCACUGGACCGGUACUGACGCUGAAAUACGAAAGCGUGGGGAGCAAACAGG